UUAACUGAAAUUUGUAUGGAGUUGGAACGUAUGCUUACGUUUGCCGCUACGGGCGCUGUUCAAACUGCAUACAAAUUUGACUUA
Non-coding RNA from Bombyx mori (domestic silkworm), 84 nucleotides. The record is from Rfam. Lineage: Eukaryota; Metazoa; Arthropoda; Insecta; Lepidoptera; Bombycidae.